This 27-nucleotide non-coding RNA is filed under the name Rattus norvegicus (Norway rat). The record is from RNAcentral. Lineage: Eukaryota; Metazoa; Chordata; Mammalia; Rodentia; Muridae.
GAAGCAAAGCAAAAGCCAAGAGGUCCA